GGGUUCGUAGCUCAACGGUAGAGCAAUCGAUUGCAGAUCGAUAGGUCGCAGGUUCGACUCCUGUCGUGCCCU
This is a transfer RNA of Ordospora colligata OC4, 72 nucleotides long. It matches the Rfam family "tRNA". From Rfam's summary of the family: Transfer RNA (tRNA) molecules are approximately 80 nucleotides in length. Their secondary structure includes four short double-helical elements and three loops (D, anti-codon, and T loops). Further hydrogen bonds mediate the characteristic L-shaped molecular structure. tRNAs have two regions of fundamental functional importance: the anti-codon, which is responsible for specific mRNA codon recognition, and the 3' end, to which the tRNAs corresponding amino acid is attached (by aminoacyl-tRNA synthetases). tRNAs cope with the degeneracy of the genetic code in two manners: having more than one tRNA (with a specific anti-codon) for a particular amino acid; and 'wobble' base-pairing, i.e. permitting non-standard base-pairing at the 3rd anti-codon position. The record is from Rfam. Lineage: Eukaryota; Fungi; Microsporidia; Ordosporidae.